GCGGUACAGUGGCGCACGGGUGAGUAACACGUGGAUGACCUUCCCUGGAGUGGUGGAUAACCUGCCGAAAGGCGGGCUAAUACAGCAUGGGACUACGACGCCCUGGCAAUGUAGUGAAAGCGGGCCUCUAUAUAUAAGCUCGCGCUCCGGGACGGGUCCGCGUCCCAUCAGCUAGUUGGUGAGGUAACGGCUCACCAAGGCGACGACGGGUAGCUGGUCUGAGAGGAUGGCCAGCCACACUGGAACUGAGACACGGUCCAGACUCCUACGGGAGGCAGCAGUGGGGAAUCUUGCGCAAUGGGCGAAAGCCUGACGCAGCGACGCCGCGUGGGCGAAGAAGGCCUUCGGGUUGUAAAGCCCUGUGGGGGAGAACGAACCGCACGGCGCUUAAUACGUGACGUGCCUGACGGUACUCCUUUAGCAAGCAUCGGCUAACUCUGUGCCAGCAGCCGCGGUAAGACAGAGGAUGCAAACGUUGCUCGGAAUUACUGGGCGUAAAGUGCGUGUAGGCGGCUUGGUAAGUCGGACGUGAAAUCCCGGGGCUCAACCCCGGAAGGGCGCUCGAUACUGCCGAACUUGGGUCCUGAAGAGGAGAGCGGAAUUCCCGGUGUAGAGGUGAAAUUCGUAGAUAUCGGGAGGAACACCAGUGGCGAAGGCGGCUCUCUGGGCAGGUACCGACGCUGAGACGCGAAAGCGUGGGAAGCAAACAGGAUUAGAUACCCUGGUAGUCCACGCUGUAAACGAUGACAACUGGGUGUUGCGGGUAUUGACUCCCGCUGCGCCGAAGCUAACGCGUUAAGUUGUCCGCCUGGGAAGUACGGCCGCAAGGCUAAAACUCAAAGGAAUUGACGGGGGCCCGCACAAGCGG
This 868-nucleotide ribosomal RNA is filed under the name uncultured bacterium. RNAcentral describes it as "bacterial SSU rRNA". It matches the Rfam family "Bacterial small subunit ribosomal RNA", at positions 87 to 932 of the family's 1533-position model. The record is from RNAcentral.